RNAcentral lists this ribosomal RNA (406 nucleotides) under uncultured bacterium. RNAcentral describes it as "partial 16S ribosomal RNA". It matches the Rfam family "Bacterial small subunit ribosomal RNA", at positions 29 to 526 of the family's 1533-position model. The record is from RNAcentral.
AUUGAACGCUGGCGGCAGGCUUAACACAUGCAAGUCGAGCGAGCGGCGGACGGGUGAGUAAUGUCUGGGAAACUGCCUGAUGGAGGGGGAUAACUACUGGAAACGGUAGCUAAUACCGCAUACCAUCAGAUGUGCCCCGAUGGGAUUAGCUAGUAGGUGGGGUAAUGGCUCACCUAGGCGACGAUCCCUAGCUGGUCUGAGAGGAUGACCAGCAAAACUGGAACAGAGACAGGGUCCAGACGCCGACGGGAGGCAGCAGUGGGGAAGAUUGCACAAUGGGCGAAAGCCGGAUGCAGACAUGCCGAGUGUGUGAAGAAGGCCUGCGGGUUGUAAAGCACUUUCAGCGAGGAGGCGUUACUCGCAGAAGAAGCACCGGCUAACUCCGUGCCAGCAGCCGCGGUAAUUC